This is a long non-coding RNA of Gasterosteus aculeatus aculeatus (three-spined stickleback), 262 nucleotides long. NCBI's taxonomy places the organism in Eukaryota, Metazoa, Chordata, Actinopteri, Perciformes, Gasterosteidae. The record is from Ensembl.
CCUCCCUCCCUCCCCGUGCCCCAGUCGACCGGCCGCCGUCGCUCAGUCUGCACCGUGCUGCUCUGUGGAAGCUGCUUAAACGGACCAUCAUCACUUCUUUUCUUCUCGCGGAGGUUGAAUGAGAUGAGCGUUCUCCCUCCCUCCCCCUCUGGGUGGAUACGCGUCGUUGUUGAAGGUGACUUUGCUGGCGGGGAGCUGAACUUCGUCCAGUUGGUUGGACAGUAAGCGCACGUUGGAGAGAAAGAUGCCUGGCAGCGGGAAC